This is a long non-coding RNA of Hibiscus syriacus, 158 nucleotides long. RefSeq lists it as uncharacterized. Lineage: Eukaryota; Viridiplantae; Streptophyta; Magnoliopsida; Malvales; Malvaceae. The record is from RefSeq and is a predicted model, not a curated record. The transcript is spliced from 3 exons.
UUCUUCUCAAGUCCAAUUAUGCACUUUUGAUGCGCUUGUUACACACGUGCUAUCUCUCAAACACUCAAGUCGCGUUUGGGAGAUCUAUUUCCGACAAAGACCAUCACUAGGAUGCUGAAAAGGACCGCACAGGUCUAUCACCCUUUCACCUUUGUAAA